AGAAAAAGAAAAAACAGCUUUCCCUACCGCUCCAUCCUCUCCUUCCCUGCCGCCUCCAUCCUCUCCCUCGCUGCCGCCUCCAUCUCCCUCGCCCCGCUCUCCGUCUCGCCGGCCGGCGGCGGCUCUGGCCGGCGGUGCGAAGCCACCCGAAUCGUGGCCAAGUCUGGUGCCCGUAGGGAGGCGGCGCCAGUUCGUUCAGCGGCGACCUCGCCGCCGCAGCAGCACGUCCCCGGCGCCCCAGCAAGCUCGUGCGCCAGCCGCUGGCCACAACAACUCUUCUACCCCGACGCUCCGACGAGCUCGUCCGCCAGCCCCUCGACACCAUCGAGGCCAAUGUACACCUGCACCUGAAGGCUUGCUAAGUUUUGGACAAUUGCCUCCAAUGCAUAAUUAUAAUUUUCGACCUCCGCCAAUGCAGCAUUCGUGAAGUCAAUACCGAUGGGUUAAACAGAAAAACAGAGGUUGUUUGCUAAACAUCAAGAAGGUGCAAGGAAGGAUGUGGAAUGUGCAUUUGGUGUGCUCCGGGCACGAUGGUCUAUUUUACGGCGCCCGGCACGUUUAUAUGACCGGGGCGAUCUCCAUCAUAUAGCCUGCAUCAUUCUACACAACAUGAUAGUCGAGGAUGAAAAGAAGAGGCGGGGAAUAUGCUUGAUUUGAAUGAGGAAGCAGGCUCGUCAAUUGUUUUCCCAUCGGUAUUUACUCAGGGUGACAUGCCAAUAUUUGCCGAGGUACUUGAAAGAGAUGCUAGAAUUCGUGAUCGUUCCAAGCAUAAGGCUCUAAAAAAUGACUUGAUUGAGCAUAUAUGGAAAAAGUUUGGGCGAUGAUAGAUUAUAUUCGAGACUUGAUCCAUGUAUUGCUAAAUAUGUUUUAUAUUCCCUCCGUUCCUAAAUAUAAGUCUUUGUAGAGAUUCCACUAUGGACUACAUACGAAGCAAAAUAAGUGAAUCUACACUCUAAAAUAUGUCUAUAUACAUCCGUAUGUAGUUUGUAGUGGAACCUCUAAAAAGACUUACAUUUAAGAACGGAGGGAGUAUAUUUUAAUUAUAUUAUAUUGGCACUAUUAUUUAUUAUGGAUCGGUUCGAAUUUGUGUUCUUGUAUUUAUCUAUGGGUACUAACAAACAAAAUUUUAUACUGAUACAUGCCACAUAUGGAUCACAAAGUUGAAGUACUAGUAUAGAUCCUACAAAACAAUAAAUGAAAACCUCCAAGUUACUACCUCUAUGUUACUACCGAUAAAUCAUGAGUGGACAUGGUGGCAAGCGAAGUUGGUAUCACGCCCACACAAUCCCACGUGAUUCGUGCAGUUUUUAUACGGCGAGCAUGUAUAUUUAUAUCUCCGCACCAUAUCGAACCUGUAUACCUUUCGUAUUCCCACUGACAGGUCAGGUCUGUUGCAUGCAGAAACAAGACGCAUUGAAUCGCUUGUCAGUUGUAACGGCAACCUGCAGCACGCUCCCCUCCUUCUCUUUAAUUCAUUUAGUCUUAUUGCUUCGGUUGUCCUACCUUUGUUCUCAGCGCUUGUUCUCGCUCUCUCUUGCAACCAUCAUCUCUCCGCAGGUCAGAACAAAUGUGUUCAUCCAUGCCCCAGGGAAGCUCUCCAUCACCUUCAUCCCAUGUCAUUUCCUACCAGGUCGUCCCACUCCCUCUCAUCCGUCGCCCUGAGUGCAGUGCAAUGCCGGGCACGUGGUCCAUUUCAGACAAUAGACCCAGGGAGGCAUUUCUACAGUUGUGAUAGCCAUGGUAUAGGAGGAUGCAGGUUCUGGAAGCAAAAGAACAAGUAUAUACAGUACCUGGGCGUCAGUUGGAGCCACAAUCGCCAUGCCUCACUUCUCGGAGAGAAUCAAGCCUGGCUAGAGAACAUGUUAAUCUUGUGCAUUGCCAAUCUUGUCGCCGUUGUCGUGCUCUUCAUCAGCUAGCAGAGCAAGUCCACCAGUUCGUCAGCUAGCCACUCCAUAGCUAGAACAUAUAUAUUUUGCAUCAAGUCCUCUCCAUGUUUCUCCAAGUACCAUCAUGCUUGCUCACCUACCGCGCUCCAGAGCCUGUGUUUAUGGUUGUUGUGCCAAUAAUUUUGGUUGAUUUGUUGCACUUAUUCACCACCAUUUCAGUUUU
Aegilops tauschii subsp. strangulata is the source of this 2109-nucleotide non-coding RNA. The record is from RefSeq and is a predicted model, not a curated record. Lineage: Eukaryota; Viridiplantae; Streptophyta; Magnoliopsida; Poales; Poaceae.